This 497-nucleotide ribosomal RNA is filed under the name uncultured bacterium. RNAcentral's name for it is "partial 16S ribosomal RNA". It matches the Rfam family "Bacterial small subunit ribosomal RNA", at positions 28 to 507 of the family's 1533-position model. The record is from RNAcentral.
GAUGAACGCUGGCGGCGUGCCUAAUACAUGCAAGUCGAGCGAACGGACGAGAAGCUUGCUUCUCUGAUGUUAGCGGCGGACGGGUGAGUAACACGUGGAUAACCUACCUAUAAGACUGGGACAACUUCGGGAAACCGUAGCUAAUACCGGAUAAUAUUUUGAACCGCAUGGUUCAAAAGUGAAAGACGGUCUUGCUGUCACUUAUAGAUGGAUCCGCGCUGCAUUAGCUAGUUGGUAAGGUAACGGCUUACCAAGGCAACGAUGCAUAGCCGACCUGAGAGGGUGAUCGGCCACACUGGAACUGAGACACGGUCCAGACUCCUACGGGAGGCAGCAGUAGGGAAUCUUCCGCAAUGGGCGAAAGCCUGACGGGGCAACGCCGCGUGAGUGAUGAAGGUCUUCGGAUCGUAAAACUCUGUUAUUAGGGAAGAACAUAUGUGUAAGUAACUGUGCACAUCUUGACGGUACCUAAUCAGAAAGCCACGGCUAACUACGUG